CGGACGGGUGAGUAACGCGUGGAAAACCUGCCGUAUACUGGGGGAUAACACUUAGAAAUAGGUGCUAAUACCGCAUAGGCGCACAGCUUCGCAUGAAGCAGUGUGAAAAACUCCGGUGGUAUACGAUGGUUCCGCGUCUGAUUAGCUAGUUGGUGAGGUAAAAGCCCACCAAGGCGACGAUCAGUAGCCGGCCUGAGAGGGUGAACGGCCACAUUGGGACUGAGACACGGCCCAGACUCCUACGGGAGGCAGCAG
RNAcentral lists this ribosomal RNA (255 nucleotides) under uncultured bacterium. Its description in RNAcentral is "partial 16S ribosomal RNA". It matches the Rfam family "Bacterial small subunit ribosomal RNA", at positions 99 to 354 of the family's 1533-position model. The record is from RNAcentral.